Non-coding RNA from Arachis ipaensis, 645 nucleotides. NCBI's taxonomy places the organism in Eukaryota, Viridiplantae, Streptophyta, Magnoliopsida, Fabales, Fabaceae. The record is from RefSeq and is a predicted model, not a curated record.
UAGAGCUUCAAGAGGAGAAUUGAAGGGAGAUUGGAGGAAGAGAGAAUCCAUAUAAUGUUAUUGUAGAUAAAAAUACUGGGGAAGUGCGUUUGGGUAUUGAAAAAUACGGACUAAGCAUAAGAGGAAAAAUCAAGCGACGCAGAGGCGUAUAUGAAUCGCGAGAGAAAUAUGUCAUUUUCAACAAGACCUGCGGUAAGCAUGAAGGCCUAUAUUUGGCAAAGAUGGUUCUUAUUUGAGCAAUGGUGGAGGCAAGCUCCAAUGGGAUUAGGACCCAAGAGCGGCGGAGGCAAACAAACUCCAAUGUAGUACUCAUUUGCCAUGUCAUUGCCGGCAGCAAGAUUAAAUGGCCGAAAAUGAGGUGAGAGAUCAAUUAGAUGCAUUUUUUACAAUUUCAGGAACGUAAAUAGUGCAAUUGGUAAGUCAAAGACUAAAUCAUUGCAAUUCGUAAAUCUCAGGGACCACUUUGAGAUUUGACUCGAUGUAUGACCUAUCAGCUAUGAGCCUAUGAUUAAAAGAAAAGAAAUAUUUCAUAAAAAAAAAUAAUGAGAGAAUAGUGGAGAUACAUUUCAUAGAAGAAAAGCAAAAAGAGCUUGGAAGAUAGACUUUGGACUCUGCCACUUUACUGAAGGACUAUCUCUUUCUAUU